RNAcentral lists this long non-coding RNA (267 nucleotides) under Olea europaea (common olive). RNAcentral describes it as "long non-coding RNA (OEUR_LNC012099)". The record is from RNAcentral. Lineage: Eukaryota; Viridiplantae; Streptophyta; Magnoliopsida; Lamiales; Oleaceae.
UAUAAAAAGCAAAAGUAGGUCUUUUAGCUCAAAGAUAUCAAUGAAGAAAAUAAUUUGUGGCAGUACCUCAAACAAAAAAAUAACAUGAAACAUGAAGAAAUUGUAAUUAAUUGUCAAUUUUCCUAACAAGAUUAACAAAGGAAAAACUCUGGGAAAUGCUGAUAAACCAUAUACUGAUGUUCACAGAAUCAAAUAGAUCAAGAACUUGAAUGAGUUUUACUUACGAGUAAUUUUACACUUCCGAAAUCACAUAUUUUAAACUAAUGA